RNAcentral lists this ribosomal RNA (906 nucleotides) under uncultured bacterium. RNAcentral describes it as "bacterial SSU rRNA". It matches the Rfam family "Bacterial small subunit ribosomal RNA", at positions 8 to 902 of the family's 1533-position model. The record is from RNAcentral.
AGAGUUUGAUCAUGGCUCAGGAUGAACGCUGGCGGCGUGGAUAAGGCAUGCAAGUCGAACGGACCUUGCUUAUUGAUGUGUGGAAUGCGUAGCAAUACAAGUGAAGCAUUGAUAUAAGCGCUGGUUAGUGGCAAACGAGGUAGUAACACGUAGGUAUGUACCCCAAAGUCAUGAACAACGCACCGAAAGGUGUGCUAAUACAUGAUGGUCUCUCCGGAGUAAAGCUUUAGCGCUUUGGGAACAGCCUGCGGGAUAUCAGCUAGUUGGUAGUGUAAUGGACUACCAAGGCUAUGACGUCUAGGGGAGGUGAGAGCCUGACCCCCACCGAUGGGACUGAGACACGGCCCAUACAUCUACGGAUGGCUGCAGUCGAGAAUCUUCCACAAUGGACGAAAGUCUGAUGGAGCGACGCCGCGUGGUGGAUGAAGACCCUCUGGGUCGUAAACACCUUUUAUGAGGGAAGAAGUUUAUUGACGGUACCUCAUGAAUAAGGGGCUCCCAAUCUCGUGCCAGCAGGAGCGGUAAUACGAGAGCCUCAAGCGUUAUCCGGAAUUACUGGGCGUAAAGGGUGAGUAGGUUGUGAUGUUAGUCAUUUGUAAAAGCCCCCGGCUCAACCGGGGAUCUGCGAACGAAACGGCAUUACUAAGAGGGCAGGAGAGGUGUGCGGAACUCAAGGUGUAGGGGUGAAAUCCGUUGAUAUCUUGGGGAACACCAAAAGCGAAGGCAGCACACUGGCCUGUACCUGACACUGAAUCACGAAAGCGUGGGUAGCGAAUGGGAUUAGAUACCCCAGUAGUCCACGCCCUAAACGAUGUUCAUUUGCUAUUCGGAGUAUCGACCCUCUGAGUGGCGUAGCUAACGCGUUAAAUGAACCGCCUGGGAAGUACGAUCGCAAGAUUAAAACUC